Molecule: long non-coding RNA, 318 nt
Organism: Magallana angulata
Lineage: Eukaryota; Metazoa; Mollusca; Bivalvia; Ostreida; Ostreidae
Exons: 3
Source: RefSeq, a predicted model, not a curated record
GUCGGAAAGCAACAGAAUUGUUAGCUAGACCACUCAGUUCUUAACCCUGUUUUUGUAGCUUGUGUCUUGGUGACUUCAUAGUGUCUUUGUGACUUAAUAAGUGUCUUGGUGACUUUCAGCUGACCGGGCUCGCAAGAUGAACAAUAAAACAAAAAUAUAAGCCAUCGUAAAAGACAAAACUGUGUUUGUAGUUUCAUGGCAGCUUUAAAAGAAGGAUGGAACUCAAGGCUUGCAAGGUGAACAGUAAAACAAAAAGAAUGCCAAUCCAAAAAGACAAAAUUGUGCUUGUAGUUCCAUGGCUUUUGAAGAAGGUUGAAU